GUGUCAGCCGCCGCGGUAAUACGAAGGGGGCUAGCGUUGUUCGGAAUUACUGGGCGUAAAGGGCGUGCAGGCGGAUCCGCCAGUCAGAGGUGAAAGCCCCGGGCUUAACCUGGGAAUUGCCUUUGAUACUGUGGAUCUAGAGUUCGGGAGAGGGUCGUGGAAUUCCCAGUGUAGAGGUGAAAUUCGUAGAUAUUGGGAAGAACACCAGUGGCGAAGGCGGCGACCUGGACCGACACUGACGCUGAGGCGCGAAAGCGUGGGGAGCAAACAGGAUUAGAUACCCUGGUAGUCCACGCCGUAAACGAUGUGUGCUAGACGUUGGGGGACCUAGUCCUUCAGUGUCGCAGCUAACGCGUUAAGCACACCGCCUGGGGAGUACGGCCGCAAGGUUAAAACUCAAAUGAAUUGACGGGG
RNAcentral lists this ribosomal RNA (414 nucleotides) under uncultured prokaryote. RNAcentral describes it as "bacterial SSU rRNA". It matches the Rfam family "Bacterial small subunit ribosomal RNA", at positions 505 to 918 of the family's 1533-position model. The record is from RNAcentral.